AUUGAACGCUGGCGGAACGCUUUACACAUGCAAGUCGAACGGCAGCACGGACUUCGGUCUGGUGGCGAGUGGCGAACGGGUGAGUAAUGUAUCGGAACGUGCCCAGUCGUGGGGGAUAACGUAGUGAAAAUUACGCUAAUACCGCAUACGAUCUAUGGAUGAAAGCGGGGGAUCGCAAGACCUCGCGCGAUUGGAGCGGCCGAUAUCAGAUUAGGUAGUUGGUGGGGUAAAGGCCCACCAAGCCAACGAUCUGUAGCUGGUCUGAGAGGACGACCAGACACACUGGAACUGAGACACGGUCCAGACUCCUACGGGAGGCAGCAGUGGGGAAUUUUGGACAAUGGGCGAAAGCCUGAUCCAGCCAUUCCGCGUGCAGGAUGAAGGCCCUCGGGUUGUAAACUGCUUUUGUACAGAACGAAAAGGUUUCUACUAAUACUAGGAGCUCAUGACGGUACUGUAAGAAUAAGCACCGGCUAACUACGUGCCAGCAGCAGCCGCCG
This 500-nucleotide ribosomal RNA is filed under the name uncultured bacterium. RNAcentral describes it as "partial 16S ribosomal RNA". It matches the Rfam family "Bacterial small subunit ribosomal RNA", at positions 30 to 523 of the family's 1533-position model. The record is from RNAcentral.